CCUUGCCCUCAAGGACCCCCUACCAGUCCAGGGUUUAGGGAUUACCUGGGUGUGUCUAAGGUUUUUUUUUCUUCCCUUUUUCUAAACACCUGAGACACACCCAGGUAAUCCCCAAAUCCUGGACUGGUAGGGGGUCCUUGAGGGCAAGGU
Pelobates cultripes (western spadefoot toad) is the source of this 150-nucleotide non-coding RNA. The record is from the annotation of a GenBank genome assembly. Lineage: Eukaryota; Metazoa; Chordata; Amphibia; Anura; Pelobatidae.